This 1026-nucleotide long non-coding RNA is filed under the name Oncorhynchus mykiss (rainbow trout). Its description in RNAcentral is "lncRNA (ENSOMYG00000052683.1)". Lineage: Eukaryota; Metazoa; Chordata; Actinopteri; Salmoniformes; Salmonidae. The record is from RNAcentral.
GACUCCUACCUCACACAGGCAGGCAGGCAGGCAGAGGACUCCUACCUCACGCAGUCAGGCAGGCAGGCAGAGGACUCCUACCUCACGCAGGCAGGCAGGCAGGCAGGCAGAGGACUCCUACCUCACGCAGGCAGGCAGGCAGGCAGAGGACUCCUACCUCACGCAGGCAGGCAGGCAAGCAGAGGACUCCUACCUCACGCAGGCAGGCAGGCAGGCAGGCAGGCAGGCAGGCAGAGGACUCCUACCUCACACAGGCAGGCAGGCAGAGGACUCCUACCUCACACAGGCAGGCAGGCAGAGGACUCCUACCUCACACAGGCAGGCAGGCAGGCAGAGGACUCCUACCUCACACAGGCAGGCAGGCAGGCAGGCAGGCAGGCAGAGGACUCCUACCUCACGCAGGCAGGCAGGCAGGCAGGCAGGCAGGCAGGCAGGCAGGCAGGCAGGCAGGCAGGCAGGCAGGCAGGCAGGCAGAGGACUCCUACCCCACACAGGCAGGCAGGCAGAGGACUCCUACCGCAUACAGGCAGGCAGGCAGAGGACUCCUACCUCACACAGGCAGGCAGGCAGAGGACUCCUACCUCACACAGGCAGGCAGGCAGAGGACUCCUACCUCACACAGGCAGGCAGGCAGGCAGGCAGGCAGGCAGGCAGGCAGGCAGGCAGAGGACUCCUACCUCACACAGGCAGGCAGGCAGGCAGGCAGGCAGGCAGAGGACUCCUACCUCACGCAGGCAGGCAGGCAGGCAGGCAGGCAGGCAGGCAGGCAGGCAGGCAGGCAGGCAGGCAGGCAGGCAGGGGACUCCUAAUUCACGCAGGCAGGCAGGCAGGCAGAGGACUCCUACCUCACGCAGGCAGGCAGGCAGGCAGGCAGGCAGGCAGGCAGGCAGGCAGAGGACUCCUACCUCACGCAGGCAGGCAGGCAGGCAGGCAGGCAGGCGACUCCUACCUCACAUAGGCAGGCAGAGGACUCCUACCUCACAUAAGGAAGACAGAGGUAACCAGGGAGAAAGCAGGAGAAUAUAA